Molecule: long non-coding RNA, 249 nt
Filed under: Physcomitrium patens
Lineage: Eukaryota; Viridiplantae; Streptophyta; Bryopsida; Funariales; Funariaceae
Description: long non-coding RNA (PPAT_LNC011214)
Source: RNAcentral
CCAAUAAUGUAAAAUGAACUUCUCCAAGCCGAGUUAAAAUCUUUUCACAAUCUUGUAUAUAAUCAACAACAUAUUUGCGACACCCCCUCUUAUCUAAAGUUUCAUCCUUGUCUCCUUCUCUGCAUCCUUUUAUAGGAACAUCAUCCAGAAAAGGCAUAGUCUUUUCAGGAAUAAAAUCUCUCAAUACCUUAUUCAUCCCAUUCAUCAUAUGCGCAACUGAGUUGGUCGCACCUUGAGAAAGAGUGCAUA